UAGUCCACGCCGUAAACGAUGCAUACUCGCUGUUGGCAAGUUAUAUUGUCAGUGGCCAAGCGAAAGUAUUAAGUAUGCCACCUGGGGAGUACGUCGGCAACGAUGAAACUCAAAGGAAUUGACGGGGGGCCCGCACAAGCGGAGGAACAUGUGGUUUAAUUCGAUGAUACGCGAGGAACCUUACCUGGGCUUAAAUGUAGGAUGCAUAGAGUGGAGACAUUCUUUUCUUCGGACUUCUUACAAGGUGCUGCAUGGUUGUCGUCAGCUCGUGCCGUGAGGUGUCGGGUUAAGUCCCAUAACGAGCGCAACCCCUAUCGUUAGUUACCAUCAGGUCAUGCUGGGGACUCUAGCGAGACUGCCGGUGUAAACCGUGAGGAAGGUGGGGAUGACGUCAAAUCAGCACGGGCCCUUACGCCCAGGGGCUACACACGUGUUACAAUGGUAGGUACAGAGGGGCA
RNAcentral lists this ribosomal RNA (458 nucleotides) under uncultured bacterium. Its description in RNAcentral is "bacterial SSU rRNA". It matches the Rfam family "Bacterial small subunit ribosomal RNA", at positions 791 to 1249 of the family's 1533-position model. The record is from RNAcentral.